RNAcentral lists this long non-coding RNA (210 nucleotides) under Phoenix dactylifera (date palm). RNAcentral describes it as "long non-coding RNA (PDAC_LNC013831)". Lineage: Eukaryota; Viridiplantae; Streptophyta; Magnoliopsida; Arecales; Arecaceae. The record is from RNAcentral.
CAUUUUUUUAUGUUUACAUUUAAAAUAUGUGCAUAAAAAUAAUAAUAAGUGCUAUGUAAAAUUAAUAAAUUUAUUUAUUAUUUAGCACUUAUCACACCCCCGAACCUACAUUUUGCUAGUCCUCGAGCAAAUAAAAAAAACUAACUCACUUUCGCAGGAAUCGCGAUUGCAUUUACCGUAUGCAAUAAGGCUUUAAACCCCUAGGUGGCC